RNAcentral lists this ribosomal RNA (253 nucleotides) under uncultured bacterium. RNAcentral describes it as "partial 16S ribosomal RNA". It matches the Rfam family "Bacterial small subunit ribosomal RNA", at positions 524 to 776 of the family's 1533-position model. The record is from RNAcentral.
GACAGAGGCCUCGAGCGUUAGGCGGAAUCACUGGGCUUAAAGCGCGUGUAGGCGGAUCGUUAAGUGCCUUGUGAAAUCCUGCGGCUCAACCGCAGGACCGCUGGGCAUACUGGCGGUCUUGGGCCACUCAGGGGUCACUGGAACAAGCGGUGGAGCGGUGAAAUGCGUAGAUAUCGGUUGGAACGCCAAAGGUGAAGACAGGUGACUGGGGGUGUGCCGACGCUGAGACGCGAAAGCCAGGGGAGCAAACGUG